UAUAAAUAUUAGAGAAUGUUCUGUCCUAUAAAGCACUUUUAAUAUUUUUUUUUCUUUUACAUUUUAUCGCAGAUAUUAUGUUUUUGACAAAUUCACGACAUUAAACGUGCAGUUAACAAUAUAAGAUACUGUAAAGGUCUUAAGCCAAGUUUAAAACCGUUUUAUGUUCAUGAAUUGUUGCUAUAUUAAUGUAACCAUCUAUGACUGAACCAAGAUUGCCAGAAUUGGCCCGGACUCCACAACCAGACUCGGGCCGGUGCUUUACAGCCGCAUCACGAACACAUGCGCGAGAGCGAGCUGCGGGACACACUCACCCCGGGUAACACUCACCUGAGCCGAGGGCAGCCGAGCUCGGGCCCGUUACUACAUGCUAUCUGGACACCCAUUUUUAAGGCUCUAAAAUACUGCUGCGAAGUUUCCCCUCCAUCCUCCCCACCACCACCAGGCUGGCCCUGUACAUGCGGGGGUAUGCUGCACUCUGCCUUCGUCUUCGGCAGGAAUAGCUGGAAUCUACAACGUCUGAUUCAAGCUACAGAUGGAGCCUACACCAAAAUAGUUCUGUUCUUUGUAUUGGUUUUGUAA
This is a long non-coding RNA of Cyprinus carpio carpio, 582 nucleotides long. Lineage: Eukaryota; Metazoa; Chordata; Actinopteri; Cypriniformes; Cyprinidae. The record is from Ensembl.